CGCGUGGGAACGUGCCCAGAUCUACGGAAUAGCCACUGGAAACGGUGAGUAAUACCGUAUACGCCCUUUGGGGGAAAGAUUUAUCGGAUUUGGAUCGGCCCGCGUUAGAUUAGGUAGUUGGUGGGGUAACGGCCUACCAAGCCUACGAUCUAUAGCUGGUUUUAGAGGAUGAUCAGCAACACUGGGACUGAGACACGGCCCAGACUCCUACGGGAGGCAGCAGUGGGGAAUCUUGGACAAUGGGGGCAACCCUGAUCCAGCCAUGCCGCGUGAGUGAAGAAGGCCCUAGGGUCGUAAAAC
This 300-nucleotide ribosomal RNA is filed under the name uncultured Paracoccaceae bacterium. Its description in RNAcentral is "bacterial SSU rRNA". It matches the Rfam family "Bacterial small subunit ribosomal RNA", at positions 114 to 431 of the family's 1533-position model. The record is from RNAcentral. Lineage: Bacteria; Pseudomonadati; Pseudomonadota; Alphaproteobacteria; Rhodobacterales; Paracoccaceae.